ACGAACGCUGGCGGCGUGCCUAAUACAUGCAAGUAGAACGCUGAAGAGAGGAGCUUGCUCUUCUUGGAUGAGUUGCGAACGGGUGAGUAACGCGUAGGUAACCUGCCUGGUAGCGGGGGAUAACUAUUGGAAACGAUAGCUAAUACCGCAUAAAAUUGAUUAUUGCAUGAUAAUUAAUUGAAAGAUGCAAUUGCAUCACUACCAGAUGGACCUGCGUUGUAUUAGCUAGUUGGUGAGGUAACGGCUCACCAAGGCGACGAUACAUAGCCGACCUGAGAGGGUGAUCGGCCACACUGGGACUGAGACACGGCCCAGACUCCUACGGGAGGCAGCAGUAGGGAAUCUUCGGCAAUGGGGGGAACCCUGACCGAGCAACGCCGCGUGAGUGAAGAAGGUUUUCGGAUCGUAAAGCUCUGUUGUAAGAGAAGAACGGGUGUGAGAGUGGAAAGUUCACACUGUGACGGUAUCUUACCAGAAAGGGACGGCUAACUACGUG
RNAcentral lists this ribosomal RNA (496 nucleotides) under uncultured Streptococcus sp. Its description in RNAcentral is "bacterial SSU rRNA". It matches the Rfam family "Bacterial small subunit ribosomal RNA", at positions 29 to 507 of the family's 1533-position model. Lineage: Bacteria; Bacillati; Bacillota; Bacilli; Lactobacillales; Streptococcaceae. The record is from RNAcentral.